AGGUGGAGAGCAGGUGAGGUAGAGCAGGUAGCAGGUAGGUGGCGCCUCACAGGAUCACUGAAGGAUUAAAACAUUUGGAAGUGAAUUUCAGUGAGAAGCUUCAUCCUAAGAUAAUGAAAUGUAUUGUUUAGAAAGACAAGAGUAAAGAAGAUAUGCUGGAAUAUUUGCUUGCUAAAAAUGUUUAUCUUCAUAGUGUACACAGCUUGUAUGAUAGUUAAGUCAGUGUUUGAUAAGCCUGCCAAUGUUAACACUACACUACAUAUUAGGUUAGGUUAGGUUAGGAAACUUGAGAUGAAGUUACAGAGAGAAGGAUAGAAGCCAUAG
Long non-coding RNA from Scylla paramamosain (green mud crab), 324 nucleotides. RefSeq lists it as uncharacterized. The transcript has 2 exons. The record is from RefSeq and is a predicted model, not a curated record. Lineage: Eukaryota; Metazoa; Arthropoda; Malacostraca; Decapoda; Portunidae.